AACAGGCAGACAGGAUGAAAACAACUAGUAAGAGAAGGAAGGUGUGUAACUGUUACAUAUAUCUUGAUAUCUGAAUUUCCGCCUGAUCAGAUGACUGAUGUCACUUCUGGUAUUUGUUAUGUUGAGAUCUGUUUUUAUUGUUCACUCCUGUGUGUCAUAAGUUUGCAGAGCAGCUCAUCAGAAUAAUGUCGUUUCCUGGUAUAAUGUUUAUCUCCAUAACAGCUUUCUGGAACAGGAGGGUUUGAAGUCAAAUAUACUGAAAUGACCUUGUCAUGCAAGUCUAAGAAAGAGAGAGAUGAAUAAAAGAGAGAACCAGAGGGAGAAAUAGAAAGAGAGAUUGUCUGCAGCCAAAAGAUAGAUUUCUGCUGAAACGAGAGAGAUGGUGCCUGUGGAAAGAAGGUGGAGGCUGAAGAAGCGCAUGCUGUUGUGCACGGAGCCCGGGGGUCGCAGCGAAAGACAGAGACAGGAUGAGAGAGCGCGACGGAGAGAUUUCUACAACACCGUCAAGAUGUAGUCUUUCAUUAUGAGUCAUCUCUGACUCUUUACGAACUAUCCCGUCACACUUCUGGUCCCCUGCUCAGUCUCCACUCAGAGGGUCCCAGGGCACAUCUUGUCUCACCUUCUCGUCCACGGUAAAAAACUCUUUCAACCCGUAGCUGUCCGUCUAACUUGUGUUAAAGCUUCCUAUAAUCUCUAAUUAAAAGUUAUAAACUGUUUGGAUUAAUAAAAAGCUUAUUUUACUUCUCAGUACUAUCUAAAAAGUCCAUGUAAAGUAUAUUUUGCAGCUACAGAGCAAAUCCUGUGUUUAUUAUGACAUGUGAAUGCUAUAAAGCGCAACAGACCUUUGUCAUUUUUUUCUAAAGAUGCAUGUUGUUUCACUCAGGGUCUGUUUUGUGGAUAUCAUAUAAGUGAUCAAAUAAAUUGUUGUUUUCCUCCACCUCCUCAUCCUCAUCCUCUUUUUCUUCCUUUGGUUUUCUUCUUCCCAGAUGCAGCCGCUCUGUUAUUUAGUUUUUACUUUCCUGUGCAGUGUCUCUUUCCUCUCUCCUGUGCUUUCCAUGCACUGCAAUAAAACACAAUAUGCAUGGCCAGUGGACCGACCCUGGUUCUGCUGUAACAUGUGCCCACCAGGUACCGUGCUACUGCUUCUUUUUGUCUUGAUAGAUUCCAAAAUGUCAUUACAAACAGGUCAUAUUAUUGUAUUAUUCCAGGUAAACGUAUGGUGCGAACGCGUCCAUCCAGCUCUUGUGAAAUUGAGUGUGAACUCUGCAUCGGUGACCGAUACAUUGAUACCUACAACGACAAGCUGAACUGCAAAAUAUGCAAAAACUGUUUGAAACCAAACAUGGAGUAUAGGUUGCACUGUAACGCCACUCAUAACGCUGUGUGCACAUGUAAAGCUAACUACAGAUGCAAAGACCAAUCCUGUGAACAAUGUGUGCCGAUACCAUCCACCACCACCAAAUCCACCUUCCCUCCAUCCACUCCAGUCUUGAAACCAGGAGCCCUCACAACGGUCCGGACACCUUCUCAACCAAUCAGAGAUACGGUGUGGUUCGUGGUGAUUAUCACCCUCCUGUGUGCAGGAAUCACAAUCGCUGUUGUAACAAAAAUCAAGCCCUUUAUGUUCUGGAUCAAAUCCAAACACGGCUACCGUUUGGCUCGAGACUCUCCAUCGGUGCCAUCAGGCUCCGAAGAAGUAUCCACGCCUGUCCAGGAAGUGCUUGGGAAAUGUGAAGUAUGAGCAAGGACUUGACAGGCAAACAUCUCCCGUUGCUUUGGACAUUGAUGACGAAUGGGGCCAACGUUACUCGGCCCCGUGCUGACGAACGCAACCACGGGAAACUUUUGUCUCACGACAUCUGUGAUAUUAAGAUGAUACAAGUGUAUGAAAACACAGAUUAAGAAUCUGAAAGACAAUGAACAUACCGAAUGGGAGGGGUUGUAUUGGACUUGCAGGGGUUUGAGACUGUGCAGUAUGUUUCUAAAUGCAGAUGAAACUGUCUCUGCAGGGCAGUGAGAUCCAUUUACAGUUUGCAAAAGCCAGAGAUGGAUCUACACUGAGAGAUGGAUGCUGGGAGAAGAUGUGGGAGACAAUUGCAGGAUCUUGUUUCUCGUCUUCUUCACUACUCACUUCUUCGGUUAUCUUCCCACAUUCAAUUGUCGGUCCAACUUGGCCUGUAAACUGACUGAGCAAGAUGAGGAGGACCGUCCCUGGAUUGUGGACAUGGACUGGACCUACAGAGACCAGAACAGACCAAGAGUGCACUUAAAGGAAGGUUUUAAUUUACCUGUAAAGGUACAUUAAAUUAUAGUUUACUAAGUCACAACUCAAGACUCAUUACAGUAACACAACUGCAUCUUUUACAUGUUUAUGUUUUAUUUUCUUAAUGACGCCACAUAGUGAGCCAAGUAUUUCACAUGAAAGUCUUCAUUUCACUCAUCGGUACCCAGAUUGGCUGCUGACAGGAACGGUGCUUUGCACUGAGUGAGUCUCUGGGGUGCUGAUGAGUUGAGUUGGUUGUCUUGUGAGAAGCAUCUCUUUCUCCCUAAAGAAGAACGUGUCCAUCAGUGUGGUGCAAACAAAAGAGGAAUACAUUAUAUGGUAAAGGUUGGAAAUUAGCUA
This is an RNA transcript of Pseudoliparis swirei, 2623 nucleotides long. It is a transcript of the gene named CD27 molecule, with no coding region annotated. Lineage: Eukaryota; Metazoa; Chordata; Actinopteri; Perciformes; Liparidae. The transcript is spliced from 7 exons. The record is from RefSeq and is a predicted model, not a curated record.